GACGAACGCUGGCGGCGUGCUUAACACAUGCAAGUCGAACGGAAAGGCCCUGCUUUUGUGGGGUGCUCGAGUGGCGAACGGGUGAGUAACACGUGAGUAACCUGCCCUUGACUUUGGGAUAACUUCAGGAAACUGGGGCUAAUACCGGAUAGGAGCUCCUGCUGCAUGGUGGGGGUUGGAAAGUUUCGGCGGUUGGGGAUGGACUCGCGGCUUAUCAGCUUGUUGGUGGGGUAGUGGCUUACCAAGGCUUUGACGGGUAGCCGGCCUGAGAGGGUGACCGGCCACAUGGGGACUGCGAUACGGCCCAGACUCCUACGGUAGGCAGCAGUGGGGAAUAUUGCACAAUGGGCGGAAGCCUGAUGCAGCAACGCCGCGGGCGGGAUGACGGCCUUCGGGUUGUAAACCGCUUUCGCCUGUGACGAAGCGUGAGUGACGGUAAUGGGUAAAGAAGCACCGGCUAACUACGUG
Molecule: ribosomal RNA, 468 nt
Filed under: uncultured bacterium
Lineage: Bacteria
Description: partial 16S ribosomal RNA
Rfam family: Bacterial small subunit ribosomal RNA
Source: RNAcentral